GGGGGUAUAGCUCACUGGUAGAGCACAUGCUUAGCAUGCACAAGUUCCUGUGUUCAAUACACCAGUACCUCCA
RNAcentral lists this transfer RNA (73 nucleotides) under Camelus bactrianus (Bactrian camel). It matches the Rfam family "tRNA". Rfam says of the family: Transfer RNA (tRNA) molecules are approximately 80 nucleotides in length. Their secondary structure includes four short double-helical elements and three loops (D, anti-codon, and T loops). Lineage: Eukaryota; Metazoa; Chordata; Mammalia; Artiodactyla; Camelidae. RNAcentral also lists the same sequence under 2 other names. The record is from Rfam by way of RNAcentral.